CCCUUUGUGAACAUACCUAUAACUGUUGCUUCGGCGGGUAGGGUCUCCGUGACCCUCCCGGCCUCCCGCCCCCCCGGGCGGGUCGGCGCCCGCCGGAGGAUAACCAAACUCUGAUUUAACGACGUUUCUUCUGAGUGGUACAAGCAAAUAAUCAAAACUUUUAACAACGGAUCUCUUGGUUCUGGCAUCGAUGAAGAACGCAGCGAAAUGCGAUAAGUAAUGUGAAUUGCAGAAUUCAGUGAAUCAUCGAAUCUUUGAACGCACAUUGCGCCCGCCAGCAUUCUGGCGGGCAUGCCUGUUCGAGCGUCAUUUCAACCCUCAAGCUCUGCUUGGUGUUGGGGCCCUACAGCCGAUGUAGGCCCUCAAAGGUAGUGGCGGACCCUCCCGGAGCCUCCUUUGCGUAGUAACUUUACGUCUCGCACUGGGAUCCGGAGGGACUCUUGCCGUAAAACCCCCCAAUUUUCCAAAGGUUGACCUCGGAUCAGGUAGGAAUACCCGCUGAACUUAAGCAUA
This 513-nucleotide ribosomal RNA is filed under the name Colletotrichum gloeosporioides. Its description in RNAcentral is "eukaryotic LSU rRNA". The stretch from base 156 to 309 matches the Rfam family "5.8S ribosomal RNA". The record is from RNAcentral. Lineage: Eukaryota; Fungi; Ascomycota; Sordariomycetes; Glomerellales; Glomerellaceae.